This 430-nucleotide ribosomal RNA is filed under the name uncultured bacterium. RNAcentral describes it as "partial 16S ribosomal RNA". It matches the Rfam family "Bacterial small subunit ribosomal RNA", at positions 354 to 796 of the family's 1533-position model. The record is from RNAcentral.
GUGGGGAAUAUUGCACAAUGGGCGCAAGCCUGAUGCAGCAACGCCGCGUGAGGGAUGACGGCCUUCGGGUUGUAAACCUCUUUUAGUAGGGAAGAAGCGUAAGUGACGGUACCUGCAGAAAAAGCACCGGCUAACUACGUGCCAGCAGCCGCGGUAAUACGUAGGGUGCAAGCGUUGUCCGGAAUUAUUGGGCGUAAAGAGCUCGUAGGCGGCUUGUCGCGUCUGCCGUGAAAACCCAGGGCUCAACUCUGGGCGUGCGGUGGGUACGGGCAGGCUAGAGUGCGGUAGGGGAGAUUGGAAUUCCUGGUGUAGCGGUGGAAUGCGCAGAUAUCAGGAGGAACACCGAUGGCGAAGGCAGAUCUCUGGGCCGUAACUGACGCUGAGGAGCGAAAGCAUGGGGAGCGAACAGGAUUAGAUACCCCGGUAGUCC